This 1064-nucleotide long non-coding RNA is filed under the name Coturnix japonica (Japanese quail). RNAcentral describes it as "lncRNA (ENSCJPG00005002701.1)". Lineage: Eukaryota; Metazoa; Chordata; Aves; Galliformes; Phasianidae. The record is from RNAcentral.
GGAGGUGGUGGAUGCUGCUCAAUACGGGGGGGUCCCCAACCCCCGUUUAAAGGUGGUGGGGGUCUCAGAGCCCCCAGGAAGGAAAGGGGGGGUCAAGGUGGGAGACGUCCCCACUUUAGUGGCUGAAUUAAAGCAGAGCGGAUGCGUGCCUUGAAAUGGGGGGGGGGGUUUAAUUAACGUGGGGGGGUUAAUUAACAUGGGGGGGGGCUUAUAAUAUUAAGGAAGGGGAGCUCUUUAUAAUGGACCCCAUUAAAUUGGGGGGGGGGCUUCAGUAUCUAUAGGGUUAAAGCUAAAGUGGAGCCCCCCCCCCCCAAUUAUAUAUAGGGAUUCAAUGGGGGUGUUGAUUUGUCCCCCCCCCCACAUUAUAUGGGGGGGGGUCCAAUUAUUAAGGGGGGGGUCCUAUGUAUUAAGGAAGGGGAGCUCUUUAAAAUGGGCCCCAUUAAAUUGGGGGGGGGGCUUCAGAAUCUAUAGGGUUAAAGGUAAAGUGAGCCCCCCCCCCCCAUAUAUAUAUAUAGGGAUUCCAUUAAUAGGGAUUCAAUGGGGGUGUCAUUUUGUCCCCCCCCCCUAAAUACAAUGGGGGGGUCCAGUUAUUAAGGGGGGGGUCCUAUGUAUUAAGGAAGGGGAGCUCUUUAAGAUGGACCCCAUUAAAUUGGGGGGGGGGGCUUCAUAAUCCAUAGGGUUAAAGGUAAAGUGAGCCCCCCCCCCCACCCCAUUAUACCCCAUUAUAUAGGGAUUCAAUGGGGGUGUCGCUUUGUCCCCCCCCCUAAAUACAAUGGGGGGGUCCAAUUAUUAAGGGGGGGGUCCUAUGUAUUAAGGAAGGGGAGCUCUUUAAAAUGGACCCCAUUAAAUUGGGGGGGGGGCUUUAAAAAUCCAUAGGGUUAAAGCUAAAGUGAGCCCCCCCCCCCCCCCCGCCAUAUAUAUAUAUAGGGAUUCAAUGGGGGUGUCGCUUUGUUUUUGUUCCCCCCCGCACCCCGUGCAGUGCCUUUUGGUUCCUACCCACUUCCGGUUGUGUGUGGGGGGGGGACUCUAAUAAAGGAGCAAUGAUUUCCGCUGCGGCUGUUUGC